Molecule: ribosomal RNA, 497 nt
Filed under: uncultured bacterium
Lineage: Bacteria
Description: partial 16S ribosomal RNA
Rfam family: Bacterial small subunit ribosomal RNA
Source: RNAcentral
GAUGAACGCUGGCGGCGUGCCUAAUACAUGCAAGUCGAGCGAACAGAUGAGGAGCUUGCUCCUCUGACGUUAGCGGCGGACGGGUGAGUAACACGUGGAUAACCUACCUAUAAGACUGGGAUAACUUCGGGAAACCGGAGCUAAUACCGGAUAAUAUAUUGAACCGCAUGGUUCAAUAGUGAAAGACGGUUUUGCUGUCACUUAUAGAUGGAUCCGCGCCGCAUUAGCUAGUUGGUAAGGUAACGGCUUACCAAGGCAACGAUGCGUAGCCGACCUGAGAGGGUGAUAGGCCACACUGGAACUGAGACACGGUCAAGACUCCUACGGGAGGCAGCAGUAGGGAAUCUUCCGCAAUGGGCGAAAGCCUGACGGAGCAACGCCACGUGAGUGAUGAAGGUCUUCGGAUCGUAAAACUCUGUUAUUAGGGAAGAACAAAUGUGUAAGUAACUAUGCACGUCUUGACGGUACCUAAUCAGAAAGCCACGGCUAACUACGUG